Long non-coding RNA from Hemiscyllium ocellatum (epaulette shark), 441 nucleotides. RefSeq lists it as uncharacterized. NCBI's taxonomy places the organism in Eukaryota, Metazoa, Chordata, Chondrichthyes, Orectolobiformes, Hemiscylliidae. The record is from RefSeq and is a predicted model, not a curated record. The transcript has 2 exons.
GGGUCAGAGUGGCGGUUGGUCUGAAAUGGCGGACGUUGUGCAGGGUCUGAGAGACAAUUCCUUCCCCCCCGGACGGUGAGAGUUAGUGAUCCUGCGGCCACGAACCGAGCUGUUUGUAAUGUCCUCUUGUGUGUGAAGCCGAACCGAGCUUCCGAAGAAUGUUCGCUCGCCUCGAAACGUUAACUCUAUUUCUCUCUCCACAGAUGCUGCCGAAUCCGGUUUAGUUCUGUUCCUUUGUCUUGGCAGGAGUAAGUUGGAAAUGGGAUGCUAUGGAUUUAUAAGCAAAUGACUGGGCUUCCUUCCUUUGAAGAAAUCACUUUUGUGCAAACAUCAUGGGACAAUGGAUGCCAGCUUCUAACAUUGGUUAUAACCACACAAUAGCCACCAAAUCAGAUUAUAACAGCUUUUAUCUCAAAAAUAAACAACUUUAUUUACAUUUCA